Vidua macroura (Pin-tailed whydah) is the source of this 740-nucleotide long non-coding RNA. RefSeq lists it as uncharacterized. The transcript has 2 exons. The record is from RefSeq and is a predicted model, not a curated record. NCBI's taxonomy places the organism in Eukaryota, Metazoa, Chordata, Aves, Passeriformes, Viduidae.
CCCUGCAGUGCUCCCACAGCCGCCACCUCCCCCCGACACUGCUUUGGGGGCAGGGAGCACCUGCAGGCUUCUGCCCGGGCACGCCAGGCAUCAACACAUCCCAGGGGUUCUGCCACUUGGGAAUCCUGGCUUGUCCCAGCUGAGCUCCGGCCACCCUGCUGAUGCUGGCACAGGCACAGCCAUGUCCACGCAUCCAGGCUGGGCAGCCACCGUGUCACACAGCACGGGAGGAGUGGGAAGGAGGCGAGCCGGGCUGUGCCGGCGCUGCGGGGCAGGUGACACCGCCAAAAAGGAGGAGGACGAGGACGGGGGCGAUGCCAGGCAAGGCUGCGGUCACUGCGCAGCCAGGCCGUGGGUUGGCUGGCUGUGACAAGGCCGCUGUGACAUCGGCGCUGUGACAACGCGGCUCGUGUCCCGAGGGCAGAAAGCAUCUCCCUCGUUAGGCGCGCUCGCCGCUCCCGGGCCGCCUGCCCGCCGCCCGCAGCUGCUGCUCCUCCCCGCUGCGCCCGCCGCUGUCUCCCCGUAAUUAAAGAUCCAACGACCUUUGCCGACUGCCUGAGACGCUGGAACAAAUGAACGAGGCGCGCUCCUGAUUGAUCUGGAAGAAGCAGCUCAGUGCGAGGGAAGGAGUCUAUACACACCGAAACAGCUCUUUAAUUUCUUAAUUUAAUAUCUGACACGUAAAGAUUCUCAUUAAGCCAGUCAAUGAAGCCUGGAAAUACAAUUUUCGUGCAAACUGU